CCUACGGGUGGCAGCAGUGAGGAAUAUUGGUCAAUGGACGCAAGUCUGAACCAGCCAAGUAGCGUGCAGGAUGACGGCCCUCCGGGUUGUAAACUGCUUUUAGUUGGGAAUAAAAGGGGGCUCGUGAGCCCCGUAUUGUAUGUAUCAUCAGAAAAAGGAACGGCGAAGUCGGUGCCAGCAGCCGCGGUAAUACGGAAGGUCCGGGCGUUAUCCGGAUUUAUUGGGUUUAAAGGGAGCGUAGGCCGGCUUUUAAGUCAGCUGCGAACGUCCGCGGCUCACGCGGUGAAUUGCAGUUGAUACUGGAGGCCUUGAGUGCAAACAGGGAUGCCGGAAUUCAUGGUGUAGCGGUGAAAUGCUUAGAUAUCAUGAAGAACUCCGAUCGCGAAGGCAAGUGUCCGGGGUGCAACUGACGCUGAGGCUCGAAAGUGCGGGUAUCAAACAGGAUUAGAUACCCGAGUAGUC
Molecule: ribosomal RNA, 462 nt
Filed under: uncultured bacterium
Lineage: Bacteria
Description: partial 16S ribosomal RNA
Rfam family: Bacterial small subunit ribosomal RNA
Source: RNAcentral